GUACACCCAUCGACGAACUCAUUCGUACGGCAGGAGCGGGGGACCCAGGUAAGUCGCCGAACCGGACGACUCACAUGGCGCAGCGCGUGACACAGCGCGCCGCACCGCGUGUUCGCACCGGACGGCUUGGGGUAAAGCCACGCCUCUCACGGGGCGCGACCGGGCACCUCCCCGCCCGAACCCGACAGCUCACCUCGCAGGCGUAGGAGAGGAACGUC
This 218-nucleotide small RNA is filed under the name Streptomyces griseofuscus. RNAcentral's name for it is "c-di-AMP sequence". It matches the Rfam family "c-di-AMP riboswitch aptamer (ydaO/yuaA leader)". Rfam says of the family: This family represents a conserved RNA structure found upstream of the ydaO and yuaA genes in Bacillus subtilis and related genes in other bacteria. The ydaO/yuaA element is thought to act as a genetic "off" switch for the ydaO and yuaA genes in its native state. The record is from RNAcentral. Lineage: Bacteria; Bacillati; Actinomycetota; Actinomycetes; Kitasatosporales; Streptomycetaceae.